CCUACGGGACCAGCAGUGAGGAAUAUUGGUCAAUGGGCGGAAGCCUGAACCAGCCAAGUCGCGUGAGGGAAUAAGGCCCUACGGGUCGUAAACCUCUUUUGCCGGGGAGCAAGGGCCGGGACGAGCCCCGGUCCGGAGAGUACCCGGAGAAAAAGCAUCGGCUAACUCCGUGCCAGCAGCCGCGGUAAUACGGUGGAUGCGAGCGUUAUCCGGAUUUAUUGGGUUUAAAGGGUGCGUAGGCGGUCCGUUAAGUCAGCGGUAAAAUUGCGGGGCUCAACCCCGUCGAGCCGUUGAAACUGGCAGAC
This 305-nucleotide ribosomal RNA is filed under the name uncultured bacterium. RNAcentral describes it as "bacterial SSU rRNA". It matches the Rfam family "Bacterial small subunit ribosomal RNA", at positions 338 to 641 of the family's 1533-position model. The record is from RNAcentral.